RNAcentral lists this ribosomal RNA (243 nucleotides) under uncultured bacterium. RNAcentral describes it as "partial 16S ribosomal RNA". It matches the Rfam family "Bacterial small subunit ribosomal RNA", at positions 523 to 763 of the family's 1533-position model. The record is from RNAcentral.
AUACGUAGGGGGCUAGCGUUAUCCGGAUUUACUGGGCGUAAAGGGUGCGUAGGUGGUUUCUUAAGUCAGGAGUGAAAGGCUACGGCUCAACCGUAGUAAGCUCUUGAAACUGGGAAACUUGAGUGCAGGAGAGGAAAGUGGAAUUCCUAGUGUAGCGGUGAAAUGCGUAGAUAUUAGGAGGAACACCAGUAGCGAAGGCGGUCUUUCUGGACUGUAACUGACACUGGAGGCAACGAAAGCGGU